This is a long non-coding RNA of Oreochromis aureus, 347 nucleotides long. RefSeq lists it as uncharacterized. The record is from RefSeq and is a predicted model, not a curated record. NCBI's taxonomy places the organism in Eukaryota, Metazoa, Chordata, Actinopteri, Cichliformes, Cichlidae. The transcript is spliced from 3 exons.
AAUAGGAUCUGUCGUGGAGCAGCACAUGGUGGACACGUCAAACAAACCUCCGUCAGACACAAGUCACUUUUCAGCCGUUCUAAAGUCUCACUUCAACGCUGGAUGCAAUUUAUCUACAGAUUUUCUCAGGGUCUGCGAUUACGUCAAAUCGACAUGAUAGAUGACACCAUUGCAGGCAGCACAGCAACACUUAGUAAAAUGUCCAAAAAAAUAAGGAGGGUAUGUGUGGCUGCAGUUCAAAGAUUGAGACGUCGUACAGGUCAGCAGAUUGGUGGCCGAAGGGAGUUUGUUGUGAUUGAUGAGAGUCACUUUCGUCACAAACGAAAGUAUGGGAGAGGAAGAAUGGC